AAGAUGAAAAGCUCCCACUUGUAUAUCUAUCCAAUUUGUAGACCUCGGAGCUAACAUAAAAAAUAAAGACAAAACUCUAAGUAAUAAUUCCAAAAAGAACACCUAACAACUAAAUCAAAUUGACAAGGUAGAAAAACACUGUUGAUGGAAUCAACUAAAUAUAUAUCUUUAUUCCACUAAAAUAGAUUUGAGAAGGAAACAUGGAAAUGGAGAGAGGAGAGGCAUCAUCUCACCAUCUUAGACAACCUCAUACAUGAAAAAUGCAUAUUGCAUAAUUAAAUCAAAUUGACAUAAAAAUAAUAUCCUAAACAAUAUAAUUAAAAAAACUAAAAAGAAAACCUAUUUUUUCUCUCUCUUCCCA
RNAcentral lists this long non-coding RNA (361 nucleotides) under Sorghum bicolor (sorghum). RNAcentral describes it as "long non-coding RNA (SBIC_LNC009172)". Lineage: Eukaryota; Viridiplantae; Streptophyta; Magnoliopsida; Poales; Poaceae. The record is from RNAcentral.